CCCUGGCAGCAGCCUCAGGGCAAGCAAGGGCUGAAGAGGAACGUGCAGUCCUGGAGCAGGAGAUGCUGCGACCACAGAGUUGCUGGCUGUUGCUGCCCUCGGCUUCUGCGGUGCUGUGAAGAGAGCUCAGCGGAAGGACACGGGGCAACUGCAGCUGAGGAGGGCGGGCGGCUGGACGGCGAGGGCGGCCAAAGCCCGGGUAGCCCCAUUAGCCCGACAGCUUUCCCAAACCUGCCCCGGGCCCUUCAAACGAAUUCCAGAGCUCGUUAUAAAUGAGAAGUACAAACGUGGACGAAGAGCUGCUUUUAUUUUGCUUUCYACCUGGAAGUAUCAUCCUGAGAACUUUGCGGUCGCAGCUGAGCUGUUCCCCGUUGAGGAUGGUUCUUAACACCUUGCCCUGGUGGGAAUCUCUUUUCCUUCCAAYGUGCCGUGAGACACACGGCGUGCCGUGGGGUGAGCCGUGCAGGUGUGAGGUCUCCAAGGCAGCAGCCACGGCCUGGAGAGCACAGUUUGGGAGUGUCAGAAGGGUGAAGCYGUCUGCAAACAAUACUGAUCACUCCUCCCUCUUCCUCCCUCCGUUGCGGGCUGCGAGACAGCCAAGAAAGCGUUCACAAAAGCUCCCCUCAAAGCCUGAAUCGCUCACAAACCUGCUUUAACUCCUUUAGCAGAUUUUAAACAACUUUCGAGAUUAUACAUCUGCCAAAGAAUAUAUUGGAGUGGUUCAGCUAACGUGCUUUUACAAAUGUUUUCCAAGUUUUCCUCUCUUUUUUUUUUCUCUUUUCCCCCUCUUUUGAUCUUGCCUGUAGAUCCUGCAUAUUUCCUGCAUAUUUGAGGGGGAAGGACUGAGAAAGUGAUAUUGUGGCACAGUAUGUGGGAAAUGCCAUGGGAAUACUUGUGUUUUUCUCUCAACAAAACAAACCUUUAUCACUGAAAGAAGGCAAAUACUAAGAAAACGGAGAGACCUAUGGAUAACAUGCAAAGGGGCAUUUCCAUGGGUCAGGGCAAGGCUCAACCUACUCUAAGGAUUUGACCCCUGAGGGUACCGUAAGUACAGAAGAGCAUUAAGAGCAUUAAGAAGAUACCAAMAGGUUUGGUGUCGUGGCGCGGGCGGGCUUGCACGUGCUCGUGCCUCCCUGUGUGGAGCCGGCGUGUUUUCCAGUCGGGCUCUGCACGUGUGUUUCCCUGUUUGCAGUAGAAACGGCUGCUGGGCGGCUCGUGCCGUCGAUGUCCGCGCUGUGCGYGGGUAGCCGGGCACUGGUUCCCAUUCCUGCUGCUCCCUCGGCACAGCGGCUGUGCCAGGGAGGAAGGGAUGCAGCCCCGGCCGCCUUCCAAAAUGUGGCUCCCCUCUGCCCGCGACACUUUGCUGAUAAAUACCCGAGGAUGCGGAUCCUGCCGAGCGUGCSUGCUAGCUCGGGAAGAGACCCGAGCCCUGCUGUGCUUCCUGCCGCCGGUUGCCUUAGGGAGACUAUAGGCGAUGUCACGUGCGGCAGCAGUCACGGACAACACGCAGCGCCUCGGUGGAACCUGCCCGGGAGCCGCUUCCCCCAUCCCAAGGACACGUGGAAAGCUUCCCCAGGCUACUGACGGGUCUGUUUGCCAGGGGCUCUCCGSAUGAGUACGGUCAAGAUGAAGGAAAGGGCAUUGUGGCUCUGUGCAGUCCCUUUGAUUCACUUAUUUCUUUUAAAACAAAUCUGCCUUUUUUAAGGAACAGAAGCAAAAAGUGGAUAAGUAGAAGACUUUCUGGUGGGGAGCUUAGUGUAAGGAGUAUUGGCUAGAAACUUGGUGCCUUUUAGCACCAGAGAAAUGGGGAAGGCUCGUGGCUUCCUCAGG
Nothoprocta perdicaria is the source of this 1830-nucleotide long non-coding RNA. RefSeq lists it as uncharacterized. The transcript has 2 exons. The record is from RefSeq and is a predicted model, not a curated record. NCBI's taxonomy places the organism in Eukaryota, Metazoa, Chordata, Aves, Tinamiformes, Tinamidae.